AGACUUUGAUCCUGGCUCAGAUUGAACGCUGGCGGCAUGCUUUACACAUGCAAGUCGAACGGCAGCACGAGGGUAACCUUGGUGGCGAGUGGCGAACGGGUGAGUAAUACAUCGGAACGUAUCUUGAAGUGGGGGAUAACGCAUCGAAAGAUGUGCUAAUACCGCAUAUUCUCCAAGGAGGAAAGCAGGGGAUCGAAAGACCUUGUGCUUUUAGAGCGGCCGAUGCCUGAUUAGCUAGUUGGUGGGGUAAAGGCCUACCAAGGCAACGAUCAGUAGCUGGUCUGAGAGGACGGCCAGCCACACUGGGACUGAGACACGGCCCAGACUCCUACGGGAGGCAGCAGUGGGGAAUUUUGGACAAUGGGCGAAAGCCUGAUCCAGCCAUGCCGCGUGAGUGAAGAAGGCCUUCGGGUUGUAAAGCUCUUUCGGUCGGGAAGAAAUAGUUGUGGCUAAUAUCUGCAAUGAAUGACGGUACCGACAUAAGAAGCACCGGCUAACUACGUGCCAGCAGCCGCGGUAAUACGUAGGGUGCAAGCGUUAAUCGGAAUUAUUGGGCGUAAAGGGUGCGCAGGCGG
This 575-nucleotide ribosomal RNA is filed under the name uncultured beta proteobacterium. Its description in RNAcentral is "bacterial SSU rRNA". It matches the Rfam family "Bacterial small subunit ribosomal RNA", at positions 8 to 578 of the family's 1533-position model. Lineage: Bacteria; Pseudomonadati; Pseudomonadota; Betaproteobacteria. The record is from RNAcentral.